RNAcentral lists this unclassified non-coding RNA (136 nucleotides) under uncultured fungus. RNAcentral's name for it is "sequence contains ITS1, 5.8S rRNA gene". Lineage: Eukaryota; Fungi. The record is from RNAcentral.
CAGAGUGUCUGAGAUCUCUGAUCUCUACCUCCCACCCUUGUGUAAAGAGUCUUUGUUACUCUUGCUUUGGCUUCUGUCAGAGCAAACUUUACAACUCUUGAUCUCUGGUUGUCUGAGACUACAAGAAAAUAAAUCA